RNAcentral lists this ribosomal RNA (1361 nucleotides) under uncultured bacterium. RNAcentral's name for it is "bacterial SSU rRNA". It matches the Rfam family "Bacterial small subunit ribosomal RNA", at positions 28 to 1381 of the family's 1533-position model. The record is from RNAcentral.
ACUGCAUUCUGGCGGCAGGCCUAACACAUGCAAGUCGAGCGGUAGCACAGAGAGCUUGCUCUCGGGUGACGAGCGGCGGACGGGUGAGUAAUGUCUGGGAAACUGCCUGAUAGAGGGGGAUAACUACUGGAAACGGUAGCUAAUACCGCAUAACGUCGCAAGACCAAAGUGGGGGACCUUCGGGCCUCAUGCCAUCAGAUGUGCCCAGAUGGGAUUAGCUAGUAGGUGGGGUAAUGGCUCACCUAGGCGACGAUCCCUAGCUGGUCUGAGAGGAUGACCAGCCACACUGGAACUGAGACACGGUCCAGACUCCUACGGGAGGCAGCAGUGGGGAAUAUUGCACAAUGGGCGCAAGCCUGAUGCAGCCAUGCCGCGUGUGUGAAGAAGGCCUUCGGGUUGUAAAGCACUUUCAGCGGGGAGGAAGGCGGUGAGGUUAAUAACCUCAUCGAUUGACGUUACCCGCAGAAGAAGCACCGGCUAACUCCGUGCCAGCAGCCGCGGUAAUACGGAGGGUGCAAGCGUUAAUCGGAAUUACUGGGCGUAAAGCGCACGCAGGCGGUCUGUCAAGUCGGAUGUGAAAUCCCCGGGCUCAACCUGGGAACUGCAUUCGAAACUGGCAGGCUAGAGUCUUGUAGAGGGGGGUAGAAUUCCAGGUGUAGCGGUGAAAUGCGUAGAGAUCUGGAGGAAUACCGGUGGCGAAGGCGGCCCCCUGGACAAAGACUGACGCUCAGGUGCGAAAGCGUGGGGAGCAAACAGGAUUAGAUACCCUGGUAGUCCACGCCGUAAACGAUGUCGAUUUGGAGGUUGUGCCCUUGAGGCGUGGCUUCCGGAGCUAACGCGUUAAAUCGACCGCCUGGGGAGUACGGCCGCAAGGUUAAAACUCAAAUGAAUUGACGGGGGCCCGCACAAGCGGUGGAGCAUGUGGUUUAAUUCGAUGCAACGCGAAGAACCUUACCUGGUCUUGACAUCCACAGAACUUUCCAGAGAUGGAUUGGUGCCUUCGGGAACUGUGAGACAGGUGCUGCAUGGCUGUCGUCAGCUCGUGUUGUGAAAUGUUGGGUUAAGUCCCGCAACGAGCGCAACCCUUAUCCUUUGUUGCCAGCGGUCCGGCCGGGAACUCAAAGGAGACUGCCAGUGAUAAACUGGAGGAAGGUGGGGAUGACGUCAAGUCAUCAUGGCCCUUACGACCAGGGCUACACACGUGCUACAAUGGCAUAUACAAAGAGAAGCGACCUCGCGAGAGCAAGCGGACCUCAUAAAGUAUGUCGUAGUCCGGAUUGGAGUCUGCAACUCGACUCCAUGAAGUCGGAAUCGCUAGUAAUCGUAGAUCAGAAUGCUACGGUGAAUACGUUCCCGGGCCU